CUGAUAAGUGCUAAAUAAUGCAUAAAUUAACCUUUUAUUCAUAGCACUUAUCAUUAUUUUAAUUUGCAUAUUUCGUAAAUUUAACCAUAAAAUAUGUGUUACUAUCAUCAUUGCAUUUUAAUAAUUAUCAAAGGUAAUUCGAGUUAAUUAUUUAAUGGUUGAGUCUAAUGGAUGCAGGUCAAGUCGAAUUGAUUUAGGAUGAUCUCUGAACCCAAAUCGCA
RNAcentral lists this long non-coding RNA (221 nucleotides) under Phoenix dactylifera (date palm). RNAcentral describes it as "long non-coding RNA (PDAC_LNC015299)". Lineage: Eukaryota; Viridiplantae; Streptophyta; Magnoliopsida; Arecales; Arecaceae. The record is from RNAcentral.